This 253-nucleotide ribosomal RNA is filed under the name uncultured bacterium. RNAcentral's name for it is "partial 16S ribosomal RNA". It matches the Rfam family "Bacterial small subunit ribosomal RNA", at positions 524 to 776 of the family's 1533-position model. The record is from RNAcentral.
UACGGAGGGUGCAAGCGUUAUCCGGAUUCACUGGGUUUAAAGGGUGCGUAGGUGGGCAGGUAAGUCAGUGGUGAAAUCUUUGGGCUUAACCCGAAAACUGCCAUUGAUACUAUUUGUCUUGAAUAUUGUGGAGGUCAGCGGAAUAUGUCAUGUAGUGGUGAAAUGCUUAGAUAUGACAUAGAACACCAAUUGCGAAGGCAGCUGGCUACACAUAUAUUGACACUGAUGCACGAAAGCGUGGGGAUCAAACAGG